Molecule: signal recognition particle RNA, 296 nt
Filed under: Cebus imitator (Panamanian white-faced capuchin)
Lineage: Eukaryota; Metazoa; Chordata; Mammalia; Primates; Cebidae
Description: Metazoan signal recognition particle RNA (ENSCCAG00000002817.1)
Rfam family: Metazoan signal recognition particle RNA
About the family: The signal recognition particle (SRP) is a universally conserved ribonucleoprotein. It is involved in the co-translational targeting of proteins to membranes.
Source: RNAcentral
GCCGGGCGCGGUGGCGCGUGCCUGUGGUCCCAGCUACUCGGGAGGCUGAGGUGGGAGGAUCGCUUGAGCCCAGGAGUUCUGGGCCGUAGCACGCUAUGCUGAUCGGGUCCGCACUAAGUUUGGCAUCAAUAUGGUGACCUCCUGGGAACGGGGGACCACCAGGUUGCCUAAGGAGGGUGAACCAGCCCAGGUCAGAAACGGAGCAGGUCAAAACUCCCGUGCUGAUCAGUAGUGGGAUCGCACCUGUGAAUAGCCACUGCACUCCAGCCUGGGCAACACAGCGAGACCCCGUCUCU